UGGGGAAUAUUGCACAAUGGGGGAAACCCUGAUGCAGCAACGCCGCGUGAGUGAUGACGGUCUUCGGAUUGUAAAGCUCUGUCUUUGGGGACGAUAAUGACGGUACCCAAGGAGGAAGCCACGGCUAACUACGUGCCAGCAGCCGCGGUAAUACGUAGGUGGCGAGCGUUAUCCGGAAUUAUUGGGCGUAAAGGGAGCGUAGGCGGAUAAUUAAGUGGGAUGUGAAAUACUCAGGCUCAACCUGGGGGCUGCAUUCCAAACUGAUUAUCUAGAGUGCAGGAGAGGAGAGUGGAAUUCCUAGUGUAGCGGUGAAAUGCGUAGAGAUUAGGAAGAACACCAGUGGCGAAGGCGACUCUCUGGACUGUAACUGACGCUGAGGCUCGAAAGCGUGGGGAGCAAACAGGAUUAGAUACC
RNAcentral lists this ribosomal RNA (414 nucleotides) under uncultured bacterium. RNAcentral's name for it is "bacterial SSU rRNA". It matches the Rfam family "Bacterial small subunit ribosomal RNA", at positions 355 to 786 of the family's 1533-position model. The record is from RNAcentral.